UGUGUUAGAGUUGCCUGCAAUAUCUGAAUAUUUGCUGUCAGCUGAAGACUUCAGUUUACAGUCAGGAUCUAAUUCUAGCUUUUAUCUGAGAGGGAAAUGGGAAAAAAAGAGCUUGGAGGCAAUAGUAUGCAGAGAAAAUGUCUUCUUGUCUCACAUACCACGUCCUGGGAUUUGCUGGUAUUUAAAGCUUGAAACAUUUUAUUUUCUAUAGGUUUACUGUAGAGGAUUGAAACUUGAUACAAAUACAUUAUGUUAAAUACUUGAAGUUCUCCUUUGAGAAUAAAACACAGGAGCCUGGAUUAAUCACUGACUGCCAUGCACAAUUUUUUGCAUGUCUUUUGUUCUUAGUCUAUGUUCUAACAGGCUUUUCUUAACAUACCAUUCCCUAAAAUAUUAAUAAGAGGAGAGUAUGCAAAGCGGAGGAGUACACUGUAACUUGCAGUGGUUCAUAAUGUCAGACAGCUGCCUGCAAGAAGUCGGCUUGGCAAGAUGAGAAAAAGGUCCUUAAAAAGAGCCAGAAUGCAAUAAUUUGGUUCUCUUCUCCAUUACUCACCAAAAGGAGAUUCAUCCUGUGCUCCAUACACUACGGCUGGCAGCUUUUAACGUCACCAGCUCUGGGGUGCUUUUGAGAGCACUGCCUUGUAUGCCACCACUGAAUGGGCUGGGAACAGCAGGCUUCAUCCUUUUCAAGUCAAAUGCUUUCUUCUUCCCUACUGAAAGUAGAGUUACUUUCCCUUACAUUUAGAGAACAUCUGGGAUUUCUGGACCCCAGGUGCAAUACAACAGCAAGGUAUAUGUACUGCCUUAAAACCUUGGAAGGAUAAGGGCUAAUUUCCAGGUGGUUCAUUAUAACAGGAAGUCAUCUAAAUGUGUUCUGAAAUACUGGACAUGCCAUUGCUCUGCAUAUGUCUGGUGGGCCCUUCUUCCUGGAACAAUGAAUUCCUCCUUCAGUGCUUGCAGCCAAAAUUUCUGCUUUUCCUUUGAUGGGCAGAAAGCUGUUUCAUUCUUCCAACACAAGGGUGGCUAAUUUAGUAUGGGUUUGGUGAGCAACUUGGAGUACUUUGCAUUGCAACUGAUGAUGUACACAACUUAAACGAACUAUGUUAGAGCUACAAAGGAAGGAAAGGUAUUUAUUCCAGUCACUGCAAUAAAACUGGAUUUAUUCCACACCCCACUUUUAGACAAGCUAGAUACUGGGGUAGAUGAGCGUGGGUCCUGGCCCAGGGCUGCACCGUGAGGUCCCUUUCAGGGCUGUCGCUGUCAGUGCUGGCUGGCUCCCUGCCAGGCUGGAAACUGGAGCAGGAGGCAGCUGAAAUGGUUUGAAAACUCAUUUUUCCCAGCAGCGAGAACUGUGCUGCUAAUCAAGAAAAACACAGGAGAUGUACUGGAUUCCUUAUGUGAGCAGGUCUCCAGCACUGAAAUUGUAUUUUAAGCUUGUGCUUGUUUUUAGCGUGUUGUUGUCAAACCUAUGCUAAAGCAAUUACUGCCGGUGAGGGUCACCAGGAGUUCAGUGUUACUGAAAACCUUACAGCACUGCUACGAAGGGCCUGCACAGCCAGGCAGAGCAGUCUGCGCAGGCAUUGUCGUUGAAAGAAAAAGCAGAUUCUUGCCUUCCUUCUGCCUGUUUUGUUUGUUUUUAAUGAGAAGCACGUUUGAGCCCUUUUCUUUAAUUACUCCAAUGUCACCCUGCUGAAAAGCCCGGCCUGCUGCAAGCACCCCAGCACAAACCCUGCCCUGCCCUAGUGUGCCCUGACAGCUCUGUCCUGAGCUCAGCUGGGUGGUCAGGGGCCGAGCGAGCUGCUGGUGCCUUCCAGAGUAGCCCACUGAGACGGGCUCUGUAUUCCCAUACCUUCUGAGGUGGAUGAUGUAAGACAGAAACAAGCUAAAGACAAAAGAACCAAACCCAGUCACCUAAGGGAACCCCUCUCGCGUGUCCUUCCCCCUCAAUCAGCUGGUGGCUUCAAGCUGCUCCAUUUCUGUCUGGCCAAAGCGGUAGGUGUGAGUUUGUGCUGCUCCAGUGCUCCUGUUGCUACUCUGUGAGCAUGGUCCCAGGGAAGGACCGCUGACUUCAUGCAGCUUCAUGUUAAUUUUCCCAUUUUCUAACUGAUAACAAACUCAUUUCUUAAAUAACAUCAUUUUUACAUUUAGACGAGUUAAGAGACUAAUUUUUCUACUCAGUCCAUUGGCUGGGGAAUUAGUAAGUAAUGCAAGGCAGCUGUUCCUGCAUUAUCAUUUUAAAGCGCUAAUGCUGAGAACUUUAUACAUACAAAGACAGAAGCCUGUGCUAGGAAGGAGUGUGGGACAAACAGUGGAGAUCCUGCCUGUCUCUUCAAGGUGAAGAUGAGGACUUCUCUGAAGGUAUGGCAGAGCACCACAGCCUCUCCACCACAGAAGGACUCAACAACCAAACUGACCCUGAUCAAAGUCACCCCAGAUACAAUCGCAGCAUGCAUUUGAACCCAGCAGUGCCCGGACACGCCUUCCUGCUCCUGCUGAGCAGCUCCUGGUGCAUGGGCGCCUCUGCCAUGCCACAGUGAGGAUCAACGAGGGUCGGAAAGCCACCAACCUCAGUCUCAGGAGUGAAUUCAGUCUGCCGCCCUGGAUUAGCAAACUGAAGAGACUUCAGAGCCUUAGCUGUACGUCCCUGAACAGACAGAAAAUCUCACUUCAUUAUGAAUACAAAGAUCUACAGUAGGAACAGCGGAGGCACUAAGAGUCCUGAAUGUGGAGGGACAAGGUGAAAACGCCUGGGUAUGAGAAGAAAAGCAAGUAUCAUUCUGAAAAGAAAAUAAGGUUAGUUUCGUUUUUCUUUUUUCCACUUUAUCUGUACAGAAAGACUUAAGUCAACAAGUUAAUAGCUAAGGCUUAUUUAACGUUGAUUUCUCAGGUCAAAACCGAAACCCUUUUUUUAAGGACUGUUUUUAAGGACUACAACUAGCCCAGUCCUAAAUCGCGAGCUGAUCUGAGCUCAUCUGUGCCGUGGUUUCUGUGUCCUAAGUCAGUUAACAAAGACCUCUCCUUGACGUCUGGGCCUUGCACAGCUCUUCAGACGCACACUGAAUGCUCUGGGCAGAGGACAAGGCGUGGACGUGGGUGAAGUUUUAAGCAUUUUUUCCUCGGUGCCUGCUUCCCAGCGCACCAGGCUGUGUCCCCAUGAGCAGGCGCAGGCAGCGGAACAUUUACGAGCUCUCACCGCGUGCCUGCAGCUUCCCUCUCCGUCAGAGAGCCACCCCACAACCCCCCCGCUCCCGUUAAACGCCGCUCUGCCCUCCCCAGCCGCCGCUACCUGCCAGCUGCCUCCACACCAGGCCCCCCGCGCCUCAGCGCCGCUCGGCCGCUUCCAUCCGGCACCGCCUCAGCGCGGAGCGGCCGCUUCCGGCUGGCGGCGCCCCCUGGCGGAGCGGGGAGGGAGCGGGCGGCCGGCGCGUUCCCGCCUUGGGCGCGUGCUGCCGGGCUGGGCGCGAGGCGCGGCCGUUGGGCUGUGAGGCGGUCAGGGACAGCGCCCCUGCCUGUGGAGGCGGUGAGGGAAUCCAAGACGGUGGUGUCAGCGGUGCCUAAAAGAAGGCUUUAAAUAACCACUUACACUGGGACCGCCUUUUUUGCUUGGCAAAGUAGACAUCAUUGCUUCCCUGGUUCCAAAGAUGGAGUUCCUGCACUUCAUAAAGAAUCUAUCAAGUUUGUGUUGCAUAUCUUCCGAAAAAAAAGUUCCUCAAGGACAAGAGCUCAACAAAGCUAUAACUGCAAAUCUGGUGCUUGGUCCAUGCUGGAAAAAAACUUUACCUACCCUGAUACAUACAAGGAGAAAAGUUGCUUCUGGCUGCAGUUCCUUCCCUCACUUAAUUGUGACAGCUUUGCCUGAACAUGAGGAAAAACACUGGUACGACGGCAUGUAAUUUCCAAAACAAUAUUUCCUGUUUGCUCUGAAGAAAAGACAAGAAGGCAGAUGAUCCAUUCAACAGGUUAGAUCUGAUGUAGAGAGUAUAUAAGUUUAUUAUCUUAAUUGUACCUUGGUGCUCCCUAAAUGUUAUUGUAAAUGUAAAUUUAAUGUCCUGAAAUGCAGGUGUCUUUCAAAGGGGUCAUUCCCAAAGUAUUUAUAGUACUUAUAUACAUAUACCACAGUAUUAUAAACAAUUUUAAUAUUGCCCUCAUGAUACGUAUUUUACUUUCUUGAUUUCUUGCUAGUCCCAGAUUCCCACCCAGAUCAAUUUCCUUCUCGGUUGCAGCCCUCUAGAAAGGACAUUUCCAUUCUAGAAAGGUCUUCCUUAGUAAAUAUAAUACUGACAACAACAAAAAAAUUAUACAUUUAUCUUACACCAAAAUAAAACAAAAUAAAGUCUGUCAUUAGAAUCCUUCUGCACUGUUUGCUGGUUCAAAAUUAGCCACAAGAAUAGUUACCUUGAUGGAAAUCUUGAGAUAUUAUUUUUCUCCAACUUUGUAUGGCAAUAACCAUUGUUGUACCCUGCCAAGGUCAGUUAAUUCUGCCUGUUUGAUCAAGCUGGGAAUGUUUUUUUCUGUGUUAACUUUGUGCUUAAUACAUAGGUGAGAUCAGACAACAAUGUAUCUGGAAUAAACAAGUUUAAAGAA
Non-coding RNA from Anas platyrhynchos (mallard), 4584 nucleotides. The record is from RefSeq and is a predicted model, not a curated record. Lineage: Eukaryota; Metazoa; Chordata; Aves; Anseriformes; Anatidae.